CACCGCGGUUAUACGAGGGGCCCAAAUUGACGCACUACGGCGUAAAGUGUGAUUAGAGAGCAACUUAUACUAAAGCCAAACGCCCCCUAUGCUGUCAUACGCCAUGGGGAGAACGAAGCCCGACAACGAAAGUGGCUUUAUAAAUCUUGAACUCACGACAGCUAAGGCA
This 169-nucleotide ribosomal RNA is filed under the name Gymnothorax mordax. Its description in RNAcentral is "partial small subunit ribosomal RNA". Lineage: Eukaryota; Metazoa; Chordata; Actinopteri; Anguilliformes; Muraenidae. The record is from RNAcentral.